Long non-coding RNA from Arachis ipaensis, 1168 nucleotides. RefSeq lists it as uncharacterized. The record is from RefSeq and is a predicted model, not a curated record. NCBI's taxonomy places the organism in Eukaryota, Viridiplantae, Streptophyta, Magnoliopsida, Fabales, Fabaceae.
UCAACUGUGAACAAUUCCCAUUAAUCCCUCUUCCUUUCUUCAAUCAAAACUCAAACUUUCCUCUUCUUUGAGCAGAAGAAUCCAGAUCAUGAAAGGAUCGGAGAUUUCCCAUCACAACAAAUCCUGGGUUGAAGACAUUUAUUGGAACCAUUUUCAGUUCCUCCAUUUCGUAUAGUUUAUGUCCAACACUUAUAAUCAGCACCUUACACUUCCCAAAGCAUUUUAUGGUGGCUGGAAACAGUUUGUGAAAGAUCAUUCCUGAACCUCGAGAUCUCAGAAUCCGAAAGGGAUUUGUGAAGGUGAACCGUUUUGGACAUGACAUUAGCUACUUCAAAAGAAAGAAUGUCAAUGGUUACCUUAUCGUUGUUCUUGAUGGUGCUGCUAUGUUGCUACUGCUUCCUCUUUCCCGAAGAAGUUUCUAGAAGAAGGGCGUGGAGAGAGGACCAAAACAGUGUCGUUUUUGGAGAGUGUGAAGAGGGAUGUAAGGUUGGCAGCUAGGGUUUCCGAACGGCGGAUAAAAUCGGCGUAGGAAAGGUGGCGGUUGGUGGCAGAGUCGAUGAGAGCGUUGACGAAGUCAGACUAAGGUGAGUUGCGAUAGAGAGAGAGAGAGAGAGAGAACGUAUGAUGGCCACAAGGACUAAUUUGUCCAUUAAAAAUUUGUUCUCCAUCCACAUAUGCAACCAAAACGGACACCUACACUCUACUCUUCCAGGUCAGCAUGUUCCGUUGCCGUUUUGAACUCCAACUUGACAGAGGGGUCUAAUUGCCACGUGUUUUACAAUGUGAGGGAUUUAAAUAUAUUUUUAAAUCUUGAGGGACAAAAAUGUCCGAGUUUAAAAAGGUCAGGGACCUAUUUGUCUUUUACUUUUAAAUACCAUACAUAACAACAAUAUUUUAGUAGUUCUUGAAUCAAGUUAAAGGGGAAGUAUAUAUUAUAAAGAAGGUUGGCCUCGGCGCAAUGCUAAGGUGCCUUUUGAACUUUUAAGUUACGAAAUCCAUGGCCGGCGCAGCUCAUGACGAAAAGGAAUUUGAUUCUGAAAAUUCAGCUAGAAAGAGGUGUUUAUAACUAAAAUUUGUUUCAUAUGAAUUGAAACUAAGUUUUAAUCCUAUUCAUAUCACAGUGAUCAGACAAGGAACAAUAGCAAGGUUUGAUUACAUGAACAUAGAU